GUUCGGGUUAAUAUAUAAAUAUAACAAUGUUUUAAUAGCUUAAUUAUAGUCUCCUAAUAGUCUAUCAGUGACAGUUCCCCCAUAGCGUUCGUAUGUGAGGAAAUUGGCAAUUCCCCCAUGUAUUCAGCGUAUGCAUCGUGCGGAUUUUCCCGUGCGCUAGUAAAGGUAAGUCCAGUUUCAGCUACCAUGAACUUGUACAGCGCUGGAUUACUCUGCAAUAUACCAACUCUUUCAACGUGAGAGAGAGAGGUUUUCCAGCUCGAGUUUCCAUUCAAAAAAUCCGCACGACUUUUCUCGAUCGUUUGGACAACAGAAGAAAAGGCGGCCUUGAUUUUCUCCUUCCUUUUUGACUUUCCGUACGCAAGCAUUCAAUCCGUGUCCGCAUUUCGGUUUUGGAAACUCUUGUCUGUCACCCCACUGCCAGAACUUACAUGGAUUCUCGUGGUCACAACAAACAAAAAACGGCCUUCCAAAGUUCAGUUUACUAACGGCUUUGACGACUUUCAUUCUUGCUAGCCUUUGGUGAGUAUCACACACUGGAUGAAUUGGUCCAUUCGCUCUCCACAUUGACAUGGCCGUUUCGAACAACGAGCGGUCUUGAUCAGGGCAGAAGAAUUCACAACUCUUGGGAUUAUUUCUGUUGCAAACCCAAAAUUUUCCAUUUUUGUAGAAACCGCGGACGCUGGCAAUCCAUGCAAACACUCCAUUGCUGUAGGUAAACGACAAUCAUACUGUCUGAUGCGCGAUAUUUAUGUCCUGUCGUUAAAGCCAGUUUUCUUGCAAGGUCAGCAUAGACAGGCCCGGGCAAUGUCGUAAAAGUACAAUGUGUUCAGCCAUAUACAACAGUUAAUGACUUUUGCUAUUCAACCCAGAUUAGCGAUAUUCAAAUUUCGCCAGGUUACUAGUCGCGUAACCAUGCAAUUAAGCGUUGUAUCCAAGAUUGUUUUAUUUCAAAGCUCUCUCUCUCUCUCUCUCUCUCUCUCUC
This is a non-coding RNA of Paramuricea clavata, 985 nucleotides long. Lineage: Eukaryota; Metazoa; Cnidaria; Anthozoa; Malacalcyonacea; Plexauridae. The record is from the annotation of a GenBank genome assembly.